This 557-nucleotide ribosomal RNA is filed under the name uncultured Pseudomonadota bacterium. Its description in RNAcentral is "bacterial SSU rRNA". It matches the Rfam family "Bacterial small subunit ribosomal RNA", at positions 28 to 574 of the family's 1533-position model. The record is from RNAcentral. Lineage: Bacteria; Pseudomonadati; Pseudomonadota.
AUUGAACGCUGGCGGCAGGCCUAACACAUGCAAGUCGAACGGUAACAGAAAGCAGCUUGCUGCUUUGCUGACGAGUGGCGGACGGGUGAGUAGUGUCUGGGAAACUGCCUGAUGGAGGGGGAUAACUACUGGAAACGGUAGCUAAUACCGCAUAACGUCGCAAGACCAAAGAGGGGGACCUUCGGGCCUCUUGCCAUCGGAUGUGCCCAGAUGGGAUUAGCUAGUAGGUGGGGUAAAGGCUCACCUAGGCGACGAUCCCUAGCUGGUCUGAGAGGAUGACCAGCCACACUGGAACUGAGACACGGUCCAGACUCCUACGGGAGGCAGCAGUGGGGAAUAUUGCACAAUGGGCGCAAGCCUGAUGCAGCCAUGCCGCGUGUAUGAAGAAGGCCUUCGGGUUGUAAAGUACUUUCAGCGGGGAGGAAGGGAGUAAAGUUAAUACCUUUGCUCAUUGACGUUACCCGCAGAAGAAGCACCGGCUAACUCCGUGCCAGCAGCCGCGGUAAUACGGAGGGUGCAAGCGUUAAUCGGAAUUACUGGGCGUAAAGCGCACGCAG